GCAUGAUGAGUAGUUAACCAAUCAAUCCCUAGAAUUACGUCAAAUGCAAGUAUUUUCAAUGAAAUAAGAUCGACAGGUAAUGUGUGGGUACCGAUUUGAACCAAACAAGACUUAUAAACAGUGGAUGUAAUGAAGGUUUCUCCCAAUGGAGUUUCAACAGAUAAGUCAAGGUCCAAUUUCUCUGGAGUCAAAUUUAAACGUUG
This 203-nucleotide long non-coding RNA is filed under the name Panax ginseng (ginseng). RNAcentral's name for it is "long non-coding RNA (PGIN_LNC007052)". Lineage: Eukaryota; Viridiplantae; Streptophyta; Magnoliopsida; Apiales; Araliaceae. The record is from RNAcentral.